CACUGUGGAAUUCGCCCUUGCGCUACCUGGUUGAUCCUGCCAGUAGUCAUAUGCUUGUCUCAAAGAUUAAGCCAUGCAUGUUCCAGUAUGAGUUUUUAUAUAACGAAACUGCGAAGGGCUCAUUAAAUCGGUUAUUAAACAAUCGACGGUUAUCAUAUAUGGUUAUCCGUGGUAAUUCUACGGCUAAUACAUGUACGACCCUUCGGGGUGCCUAUAUUUCGACUUUGACAAACAAGGCUCGUCCUUGAUCGUCCUGAGGAAAUUAUCUGUGCUUAUCAUUUCCCAAGAAAGAAGCUUCGAAAUUAUUUCCGCCCUAUCAGCUUUCGUCGGUAACAUAGUGGUUUACCGUGGCAGUGACGGGUAACGGGGAAUUAGGGUUUGACUCCGGAGAGGGAGCCUGAGAAACGGCUACCACAUCUAUGGAAGGCAGCAGGCGCGCGAAUUACCCAAUCCUAUACUAGGGAGGUAGUGACAAGAAAUAACAACAUAGAUAUAUUUUAUCUAUGAUUGGAAUGAAAGGACUUUAAAUCAUUUCUUGAGGAUCCAUUGGAGGGCAAGUCUGGUGCCAGCAGCCGCGGUAAUUCCAGCUCCAACAGCGUAUAUUAAAGUUGCUGCAGUUAAAACGCUCGUAGUUGUUGUCCAACUAUACGCCGCUCUCAAGCAAUUGGGAGUUGUCUAAUAGUUUAGCGGAACUCGUUUCUGCCAAAACCUUGAGGAAAGAUUAGUGUUCCAAGCAAUUAUCUCUUUGUCCUCCCCAGCAUGGUAUUCAACCUAACAGAAGAAAAGUGUCGAUUUUCUUCUUACUAUAUAGAAAUUCAAGGGGGUAUACGUACUUUAAUGUCAGAGGUGAAAUUCUUAGAUUUUUAAAAGACGGUCAAUUGCGAAAGCAUUCACCAAGCGACUUUUCUUUGAUCAAGAACGAAAGUUAGGGGAUUGAAGACGAUCAGAUACCGUCGUAAUCUUAACCGUAAACUAUGCCGACUUGUCGCAGGUAGACGUUUCCUUCAUGUUUAUCGUCGACUUUUGAGAAAUCAAAGUUUUUGGGUUCUGGGGGGAGUAUGAUUGCAAGAUUGAAACUUAAAGGAAUUGACGGAAGGGCACCACCAGGAGUGGAGCUUGCGGCUUAAUUUGACUCAACACGGGAAAUCUCACCAGCCCCACACAUAAAGAGGAUUGACAGUUUGAUAGUUCUUUCUUGAUUCUAUGGUUGGUGGUGCAUGGCCGUUCUUAGUUGGUGGAGUGAUCUGUCUGGUUAAUUCCGUUAACGAACGAGAUCUUACCCUACUAAAUAGACAAUUGUACGAUUUUCUUCUUAGAGGGACUCUUGAUCGUUUAGAUCAAGGAAGUUUGAGGUAAUAACAGGUCUGUGAUGCCCCUAGACGUUCUGGGCUGCACGCGCGCUACAAUAAUACGCACAACAAGUAUUACCCAGCUCGAAAGGGUAAGGUAAACAUCGGAAAAGGUACUGUAAUGGUUAUAGAUCCUUGUAAUUAUUGAUCUUCAACGAGGAAUUCCUAGUAAGUAUGUGUCAUCAUCACGCACUGAUUACGUCCCUGCCCUUUGUACACACCGCCCGUCGCUCCUACCGAUUGAGUGAUCCGAUGAAACUCUCGGACGCAGUAUAGUUACUAUGUUGAAAAAGAGAUUUGAAUCGUACCACUUAGAGGAAGGAGAAGUCGUAACAAGGUUUCCGUAGGUGAACCUGCAGAAGGAUCAAGGGCGAAUUCCACAUUGGG
This 1736-nucleotide ribosomal RNA is filed under the name Selenidium pendula. Its description in RNAcentral is "SSU rRNA". It matches the Rfam family "Eukaryotic small subunit ribosomal RNA". Lineage: Eukaryota; Apicomplexa; Conoidasida; Archigregarinorida; Selenidiidae. The record is from RNAcentral.